AACGAACGCUGGCGGCAUGCCUAACACAUGCAAGUCGAACGAGACCUUCGGGUCUAGUGGCGCACGGGUGCGUAACGCGUGGGAACCUGCCCUUAGGUUCGGAAUAACUCCCCGAAAGGGGUGCUAAUACCGGAUAAUGUCUUCGGACCAAAGAUUUAUCGCCUUUGGAUGGGCCCGCGUUGGAUUAGCUAGUUGGUAGGGUAAAAGCCUACCAAGGCGACGAUCCAUAGCUGGUCUGAGAGCAUGAUCAGCCACACUGGGAAUGAGACACGGCCCAGAAUGCUACGGGAGGCAGGAGAGGGGAAUAUAGGAAAAUGGGGGAAAGCCUGAUAAAGCACGGCCGCGGGAGUGAUGAAGGGCGUAGGGUAGUAAAGCUCUUUUACCCGGGAUGAGAAUGACAGUACCGGGAGAAGAAGCUCCGGCUAACUACGUG
This 433-nucleotide ribosomal RNA is filed under the name uncultured bacterium. Its description in RNAcentral is "partial 16S ribosomal RNA". It matches the Rfam family "Bacterial small subunit ribosomal RNA", at positions 29 to 507 of the family's 1533-position model. The record is from RNAcentral.